GUGAAUCAUCAAAUUUUUGAACGUAAAUUGCACUCUCUUCGGAGAGUAUGCCUGUUUGAGGGUCAGUAUUAAUAAAAAUCGGUGUGUUGCUUCUUUGUGACGCUCCGGAGUUUGGGUCAUUUUAAUAUCCUUUAGGUUUUAAGAGGCUUAAAAUUGACUUUUUUUUGGGCAUUUUAGUUGUACAUAAUUUUUUUUUUUUAUUCUUCUGUCUUAUGGCUCAAAUUCUUAUUAUAUUCGAC
RNAcentral lists this unclassified non-coding RNA (239 nucleotides) under Glomeraceae sp. Its description in RNAcentral is "partial contains 5.8S ribosomal RNA and internal transcribed spacer 2". The stretch from base 1 to 65 matches the Rfam family "5.8S ribosomal RNA", at positions 84 to 154 of the family's 154-position model. Lineage: Eukaryota; Fungi; Glomeromycota; Glomeromycetes; Glomerales; Glomeraceae. The record is from RNAcentral.